Molecule: long non-coding RNA, 684 nt
Organism: Panicum virgatum (switchgrass)
Lineage: Eukaryota; Viridiplantae; Streptophyta; Magnoliopsida; Poales; Poaceae
Exons: 2
Source: RefSeq, a predicted model, not a curated record
UGCCCAGAAGCCUACGGGUGCCCCGUUCCUAUCGAUUUCUCUAUCUUCUUGCUUGGUUCCAAACUGAGCAGAGCCGUGCCGUCGCCGCUCCGGCCAUCCCCGGCCGCAUCCCUCUCCGAUUUUUCGCGCCCAAGCCUUCCUCCCCUGCUCCUCAACCUCUGUCGCGCCUCCCCAAGCCCGGCCGAACCCUACCUCGAGCGGAAUCGGCCCCUUCGUCUCCGGCUGCCAUGGAAGCUCCGCUCAGAGCUCUGUUCACCGUCGAUCCGCUCCCUCCGGCCAUCUCCCGCCCAAGCCGAGCCUCUGAACGGGUUGCCCUCGACUCCCUGGAGCUUCCCAGCCCGACCACCGCUGCCCUCCCUCAUCGGAGCACCGCAGCAUGCCGCCACCAUCGCCGCCAAGUCACUGCUCCCGCCGCGGGCCCUCCUCUGGCCACCCCAGCUCCAACAGAGCCCCCCCACAGGUACGAUAGAUGCACCACGUGAAAGACAUGAUGUUGGAGCCGAACCCGAAAAUGAUGUUUGGUGCACAUAUCCAGAAGAUGGAAAGAACCAAGAGUAUAUGCUUGGUGUGGUGAUACUCGCCUAGCUGAGUGUUAUCUAACAAACAUUGACCUAAUGUUGGAUUUUAGGCAAGCCCCAGUGUAUAACCUACUAUUUUAAAUUAUCAAUCAUUAUACAUUUAUUA